RNAcentral lists this ribosomal RNA (412 nucleotides) under uncultured bacterium. RNAcentral describes it as "bacterial SSU rRNA". It matches the Rfam family "Bacterial small subunit ribosomal RNA", at positions 505 to 916 of the family's 1533-position model. The record is from RNAcentral.
GUGCCAGCAGCCGCGGUAAUACGGAGGUGGCAAGCGUUGUUCGGAAUUACUGGGCGUAAAGCGCGCGUAGGUGGGGAGGCAAGUCGGGUGUGAAAUCCCUCGGCUCAACCGAGGAACUGCGCUCGAAACUGCUUCUCUUGAGUCCCGGAGAGGAAGGUGGAAUUCCCGGUGUAGCGGUGAAAUGUGUAGAGAUCGGGAGGAACACCGGUGGCGAAGGCGGCCUUCUGGACGGUGACUGACGCUGAGGCGCGAAAGCGUGGGGAGCAAACGGGAUUAGAUACCCCGGUAGUCCACGCUGUAAACUAUGGGUGCUAGGUGUGGGGGGUAUCGACCCCUCCCGUGCCGAAGCUAACGCAGUAAGUACCCCGCCUGGGAGUACGGCCGCAAGGCUGAAACUCAAAUGAAUUGACGG